Molecule: long non-coding RNA, 1090 nt
Filed under: Oryctolagus cuniculus (rabbit)
Lineage: Eukaryota; Metazoa; Chordata; Mammalia; Lagomorpha; Leporidae
Description: lncRNA (ENSOCUG00000037327.1)
Source: RNAcentral
AUGCCCAGGGCAUCUACCCAGCAGCAUUCUCCCCCCAAAUCUGCAGGUUUGGAGGCAUGGGGGGGCAGCAGAUCUAUUGUGAGGAAGCCAAGAAGUGGAUGUCUGUCUACUCUGCUCCCUCCCACAGAGCACGGAUGUGAAACUCACCCAGAGUGGACGCUGAAGCUCAGCUGCUGGGUGUUCUUCCAGUUCUGGAGACUGCACAGCUUCCUGCUCAAUGUCAGCUGGACCUUCUUCCGGGAGAGAAGCAACUGCCGUCGGACACAUUGCUGGGGAAAGCCAGACAUGAGCCUCCUUCAGCACCGGACAGAGCCUAGGAUCCGGCUGGGCUCAGGACCUCCCCUCCCAUCUCUAGUCCCAUGAGGUGAGUCGGCCCUCUUCAAUGAAGCUCUCCACUCAAAACCAGGCCUCCCUCAGCUGGCAAGGGGAGGUGCCAAAGAUUGUAUGUAUGCCUGUGGGGGUCCCAACACUGUCUCAGGCAGUAGUACCCAGUGUGGUGUGCACGUGAACUAGCAGAUGGAACACCACCUUUCAUCCCUAGGGUGUGCAAACUCUUACACUCAAUGACACUUCACAAGGGAGCCAACCUUUUUGUAGCUUUUGCUCAGCUAAGCUCCCACGUUGGAGCACUAUUUCAAGUCUCAGCUGCUCCACUUCCCAUCCGGUCUUCUGCUUGUGUGCCUAGGAGUACAGCAGAUCCAGACCCAAGUACUUUGGCCCAGCACCCAUUUAGGAGAGUAGUAGGAGUUCCCUGUUCCAGGCUCCAUCCUGGCCCCUACCUGACUGUUGGGGUCCUGUGGGAAGUGAACCAGAGGAAGGAAGACCUCUCUGUCACCACCUCUUUUGCUCAUUUCUGUUUCCAAUGCAUAAAUCUUUGUGAAAAAUUACACACCACAUGGUAGUUUUCAGAUCAAUGUGGAACCUUUAUUUAUAAACACAGGCAAUGAGUUGGAUCUGGUUCCAGGGAUUUAAACCCUUGCCAUUUCACAAGGGAGGGAAGGCCAGGUUGGGUUGAGAAAUACCCAACACUCUCCCCACGUACCCAUGGUGCAGCAUGGAUGCUACAGAGAGCCCCCCAUAGCCCCCCCCA